RNAcentral lists this ribosomal RNA (468 nucleotides) under uncultured bacterium. Its description in RNAcentral is "partial 16S ribosomal RNA". It matches the Rfam family "Bacterial small subunit ribosomal RNA", at positions 28 to 507 of the family's 1533-position model. The record is from RNAcentral.
GACGAACGCUGGCGGUGUGCUUAACACAUGCAAGUCGAACGGUAAGGCCCUUUCGGGGGUACACGAGUGGCGAACGGGUGAGUAACACGUGAGUAACCUGCCCUCAUCUCUGGGAUAACAGUCCGAAACGGUUGCUAAUACUGGAUAUGAGCUUGCAAGGCAUCUUGUGGGUUGGAAAGAUUUUUUUUGGUUGGGGAUGGACUCGCGGCCUAUCAGCUUGUUGGUGAGGUAGUGGCUCACCAAGGCUUCGACGGGUAGCCGGCCUGAGAGGGCGACCGGCCGCAUUGGACCUGAGAUACGGCCCAAACUCCUACGGGAGGCAGCAGUGGCGAAUAUUGCACAAUGGACGGAAGUCUGAUGCAGCAACGCCGCGUGCGGGAUGACGGCCUUCGGGUUGUAAACAGCGUUCAAUUGUGACGAAGCUUUUUUGUGACGGUAGCAGUAGAAGAAGCACCGGCUAACUACGUG